GAAGUGCAUUUUCACCUGCAACCUCAAUACUUUCUCUCCAGCUAGCACUUAAGACCUGCACAUAUAAAUUGUGCACCAUGUCAAAGCCACAAAAUGCUGUAUUUGCUUCUUCCAGGAUCUGAUCACCAUGGAUCAAUAACUUGUUUGAAUACCAAGUCAAGAAGAAUUUUCCACUUUCAGUAAGAGAUCCUUCCAAAGGCUGUUAGUAAUUCAGUUCUGCAUGGGAAUGCACAAUCUUCUUCUGCAGCAUAUUGCAGAGAUAAUCUUACAUCUUCAUGAAUUGAUAUUGAAGAUAGUAUGAAACGUUGAAAAUAAUGGACACUAGGGAAGUAGGGGAAUGCCUUGGUGCAUCAACUUCACGGAGAAAGAUUUGCUUAACAGAAUCACUGCUGGAUUGUAGAAUGCCAAUUGCAAGACAGAUUAUGUAUCAGUUUUUCCAAUGUAAUUGCAAGAUUAAAUCUAAGGUUCAAUUUGUAUUCAAUUACCCGAAUGCUACUCUUUCUAAUCCUUUUGCAAAAAUGACAGUUUCACUAUCUUUGUACUUCAUAUUAUGUAAUAAGAAGUAUAUACUAAUCAUUUAUGGACCUUAAAACAAAAAUUAUCAUCAGUGUUCUACAGUGUACCCAUGCUAAUACACAGGAAGUGUCGAGUUUAGAAAGAAAUACAAUACGGAGUACUAGAAAAAA
Molecule: long non-coding RNA, 686 nt
Organism: Chenopodium quinoa (quinoa)
Lineage: Eukaryota; Viridiplantae; Streptophyta; Magnoliopsida; Caryophyllales; Amaranthaceae
Exons: 4
Source: RefSeq, a predicted model, not a curated record